AAGUCGUAACAAGGUUUCCGUAGGUGAACCUGCGGAAGGAUCAUUACAAAAGUUAAACACUUGGGGAACGGACUCGCCUUUCGGGGCUCGAGGCCUGACUCCAUUUGUAACAAAUUUUCUCACCAAUUGACUGUUAACGAAGUCUGAUUCAAAUUGUAUUGGUGUUUAUAGACACUAGUAAAAUAUGAAACAACUUUUGGCAACGGAUCUCUUGGCUCUC
This 220-nucleotide unclassified non-coding RNA is filed under the name fungal sp. RNAcentral describes it as "partial internal transcribed spacer region". The stretch from base 1 to 46 matches the Rfam family "Eukaryotic small subunit ribosomal RNA", at positions 1786 to 1831 of the family's 1831-position model. The record is from RNAcentral. Lineage: Eukaryota; Fungi.